CCUACGGGUGGCAGCAGUGAGGAAUAUUGGUCAAUGGACGAGAGUCUGAACCAGUCAAGUAGCGUGAAGGAUGACUGCCCUAUGGGUUGUAAACUUCUUUUAUAUGGGAAUAAAACGUUCCACGUGUGGGAUUUUGUAUGUACCAUAUGAAUAAGGAUCGGCUAACUCCGUGCCAGCAGCCGCGGUAAUACGGAGGAUCCGAGCGUUAUCAGGAUUUAUUGGGUUUAAAGGGAGCGUAGGUGGAUUGUUAAGUCAGUUGUGAAAGUUUGCGGCUAAACCGUAAAAUUGCAGUUGAAACUGGCAGUCUUGAGUACAGUAGAGGUGGGCGGAAUUCGUGGUGUAGCGGUGAAAUGCUUAGAUAUCACGAAGAACUCCGAUUGCGAAGGCAGUUCACUGGACUGCAACUGACACUGAGGCUCGAAAGUGUGGGUAUCAAACAGGAUUAGAUACCCCAGUAGUC
Molecule: ribosomal RNA, 460 nt
Filed under: uncultured bacterium
Lineage: Bacteria
Description: partial 16S ribosomal RNA
Rfam family: Bacterial small subunit ribosomal RNA
Source: RNAcentral